AGAGUUUGAUCAUGGCCAAGGCGAAACAAGGUAAGUCGAAGCAGGGUACUAGAGUUUGAUCAUGGCCAAGUCGUAACAAGGUAAGUCGUAAAAUGGUAUGUGAGAAUCUGCCUAAUGGACUGGGAGAACGGUAGGAGACGGUAGCGGGGGUGCUUAUUCAAGUUCGUGAAAAGGUGAAUUCCGCCAUUAUAUGAUGUCGCGUCAGAUUCACUAGUUGGUGAGGUAACGGCUUACCAAGGCAACGAUCUGUAGCUGGUUUGAGAGGACGACCAGCCACACUGGGACUGAGACACGGCCCAGACUCCUACGGGAGGCAGCAGUGAGGAAUUUUCCGCAAUGGGCGAAAGCCUGACGGAGUAAUACCGCGUGCGGGAGGAAGGUCUAUUGACUGUAAACCGCUUUUAUCGAGAAAGAAUUUUGACGGUACUUGAUGAAUAAGCCUCGGCUAACUCCGUGCCAGCAGCCGCGGUAAUACGGAGGAGGCAAGCGUUAUCCGGAAUUAUUGGGCGUAAAGCGUCCGUAGAUGGUUUUGUCAGUCUGCUGUCAAAGCACAGGGCUUAACCCUGUAAAGGCAGUGGAAACUACAAGACUAGAGUGCAGUAGGGGCAGAGGGAAUUCCCAGUGUAGCGGUGAAAUGCGUAGAGAUUGGGAAGA
Molecule: ribosomal RNA, 654 nt
Filed under: uncultured bacterium
Lineage: Bacteria
Description: bacterial SSU rRNA
Rfam family: Bacterial small subunit ribosomal RNA
Source: RNAcentral